Molecule: ribosomal RNA, 473 nt
Filed under: Russula favrei
Lineage: Eukaryota; Fungi; Basidiomycota; Agaricomycetes; Russulales; Russulaceae
Also listed under: 1 other name
Description: eukaryotic LSU rRNA
Rfam family: Eukaryotic large subunit ribosomal RNA
Source: RNAcentral
UUGACCUCAAAUCGGGUGAGACUACCCGCUGAACUUAAGCAUAUCAAUAAGCGGAGGAAAAGAAACUAACAAGGAUUCCCCUAGUAACUGCGAGUGAAGCGGGAAAAGCUCAAAUUUAAAAUCUGGUGGUCUUUGGCCAUCCGAGUUGUAAUUUAGAGAAGCGUCUUCCGCGCUGGACCGUGCACAAGUCUCCUGGAAUGGAGCGUCAUAGAGGGUGAGAAUCCCGUCUUUGGCAUGGACACACCAGGGCUUUUGUGAUGCGCUCUCGAAGAGUCGAGUUGUUUGGGAAUGCAGCUCAAAAUGGGUGGUGAACUCCAUCUAAAGCUAAAUAUUGGCGAGAGACCGAUAGCGAACAAGUACCGUGAGGGAAAGAUGAAAAGCACUUUGGAAAGAGAGUGAAACAGUACGUGAAAUUGUUGAAAGGGAAACGCUUGAAGUCAGUCACGUCGACCGAGACUCAACCUUGCCUCGGC